CCGACUGCUAUUUGGGUGAGAAUAAGCCAUGCGAGUUGAAUGGGAUACCUAAAGUUCCCAUAGCAAACUGCUCAGUAACACAUGAUCAACUUACCCUAUAGAGAAAAAUAACCUCGGGAAACUGAGGAUAAUGUUUCAUAAUUGAAUCGGCUUGGAAAAGUUUUUCAAUGAAAGGGAUAAAAAAAAUGGCUUUUAUCUGCUAUAGGAUAGGAUCGUGUUCGAUUAUGGUUGUUGGUGAGAUAAUGGCUCACCAAGCCGAUAAUCGAUAGGGGCCGUAAGAGCGGGAGCCCCGAGAUGGGUACUGAGACAACGACCCAGGUCUUACGAGGCGCAGCAGGCGCGGAACCUCCGCAAUACACGAAAGUGUGACGGGGUUACCCAAAGUGUUCAAUAGAACUGUUGUAGGUGAGUAAUGUCCCCUACUAGAAAGGAGAGGGCAAGGCUGGUGCCAGCCGCCGCGGUAAAACCAGCUCUUCAAGUGGUCGGGAUAAUUAUUGGGCUUAAAGUGUCCGUAGCCGGUUUAGUAAGUUCCUGGUAAAAUCGGGUAGCUUAACUAUCUGCAUGCUAGGGAUACUGCUAUACUAGAGGGCGGGAGAGGUCUGAGGUACUACAGGGGUAGGGGUGAAAUCUUAUAAUCCUUGUAGGACCACCAGUGGCGAAGGCGUCAGACUGGAACGCGCCUGACGGUGAGGGACGAAAGCCAGGGGAGCGAACCGGAUUAGAUACCCGGGUAGUCCUGGCCGUAAACGAUGCAUACUAGGUGAUGGUACGGCCAUGAGCCGUAUCAGUGCCGUAGGGAAACCGUUAAGUGUGCCGCCUGGGAAGUACGGUCGCAAGGCUAAAACUUAAAGGAAUUGGCGGGGGAGCACCACAAGGGGUGAAGCCUGCGGUUCAAUUGGAUUCAACGCCGGA
Molecule: ribosomal RNA, 912 nt
Filed under: uncultured archaeon
Lineage: Archaea
Description: bacterial SSU rRNA
Rfam family: Archaeal small subunit ribosomal RNA
Source: RNAcentral